AUUGAACGCUGGCGGCAUGCCUUACACAUGCAAGUCGAACGGCAGCGCGGGCUUCGGCCUGGCGGCGAGUGGCGGACGGGUGAGUAAUGCAUCGGAACGUGCCCAGGAGUGGGGGGUAACGUAGCGAAAGUUACGCUAAUACCGCAUACGUACUGAGGUAGAAAGCGGGGGAUCGAAAGACCUCGCGCUCAUGGAGCGGCCGAUGUCGGAUUAGCUAGUUGGCGGGGUAAAAGCCCACCAAGGCGACGAUCCGUAGCUGGUCUGAGAGGACGACCAGCCACACUGGGACUGAGACACGGCCCAGACUCCUACGGGAGGCAGCAGUGGGGAAUCUUGGACAAUGGGGGAAACCCUGAUCCAGCAAUGCCGCGUGUGGGAUGAAGGCCCUCGGGUUGUAAACCACUUUUGGCAGGAAAGAAAUCGCCUGUGCUAAUACCACGGGCGGAUGACGGUACCUGCAGAAUAAGCACCGGCUAACUACGUGCCAGCCGCCGCCGUAC
This 500-nucleotide ribosomal RNA is filed under the name uncultured bacterium. RNAcentral's name for it is "partial 16S ribosomal RNA". It matches the Rfam family "Bacterial small subunit ribosomal RNA", at positions 29 to 523 of the family's 1533-position model. The record is from RNAcentral.